GACGAACGCUGGCGGCGUGCUUAACACAUGCAAGUCGAACGGAAAGGCCCUGCUUUUGUGUGGUGCUCGAGUGGCGAACGGGUGAGUAACACGUGAGUAACCUGCCCUUGACUUUGGGAUAACUUCAGGAAACUGGGUCUAAUACCGGAUAGGAGCUCCUGCUGCAUGGUGUGGGUUGGAAAGUUUCGGCGGUUGGGGAUAGACUCGCGGCUUAUCAGCUUGUUGGUGGGGUAGUGGCUUACCAAGGCUUCGACGGGUAGCCGGCCUGAGAGGGUGACCGGCCACAUUGGGACUGAGAUACGGCCCAGAAUCCUACGGGAGGCAGCAGGGGGGAAUAUUGCACAAUGGGCGGAAGCCUGAUGCAGCAACGCCGCGUGCGGGAUGACGGCCUUCGGGUUGUAAACCGCUUUCGCCUGUGACGAAGCGUGAGUGACGGUAAUGGGUAAAGAAGCACCGGCUAACUACGUG
RNAcentral lists this ribosomal RNA (468 nucleotides) under uncultured bacterium. Its description in RNAcentral is "partial 16S ribosomal RNA". It matches the Rfam family "Bacterial small subunit ribosomal RNA", at positions 28 to 507 of the family's 1533-position model. The record is from RNAcentral.